This 515-nucleotide ribosomal RNA is filed under the name uncultured bacterium. RNAcentral's name for it is "bacterial SSU rRNA". It matches the Rfam family "Bacterial small subunit ribosomal RNA", at positions 56 to 614 of the family's 1533-position model. The record is from RNAcentral.
UGCAGUCGACGGAAGUAGCAAUACUUUAGUGGCGGACGGGUGAGUAACGCGUGAGAAUCUGCCAAUCGGUUCGGGACAACCACUGGAAACGGUGGCUAAUACCGGAUGUGCCUUUCGGGGUGAAAGAUUUAUUGCCGAUUGAGGAGCUCGCGUCUGAUUAGCUAGUUGGUGGGGUAAAAGCCUACCAAGGCGACGAUCAGUAACUGGUCUGAGAGGAUGACCAGUCACACUGGGACUGAGACACGGCCCAGACUCCUACGGGAGGCAGCAGUGGGGAAUUUUCCGCAAUGGGCGAGAGCCUGACGGAGCAAGACCGCGUGAGGGACGAAGGCUCUUGGGUCGUAAACCUCUUUUCUCAGGGAAGAACACAAUGACGGUACCUGAGGAAUCAGCAUCGGCUAACUCCGUGCCAGCAGCCGCGGUAAUACGGAGGAUGCAAGCGUUAUCCGGAAUGAUUGGGCGUAAGCGUCCGUAGGUGGUCUUUCNAGUCUGCCGUCAAAGCUCGGGGCUUAACU